AGUGAACGCUGGCGGUAGGCCUAACACAUGCAAGUCGAACGGCAGCACAGUAAGAGCUUGCUCUUACGGGUGGCGAGUGGCGGACGGGUGAGGAAUACAUCGGAAUCUACUUUUUCGUGGGGGAUAACGUAGGGAAACUUACGCUAAUACCGCAUACGACCUACGGGUGAAAGCAGGGGAUCUUCGGACCUUGCGCGAUUGAAUGAGCCGAUGUCGGAUUAGCUAGUUGGCGGGGUAAAGGCCCACCAAGGCGACGAUCCGUAGCUGGUCUGAGAGGAUGAUCAGCCACACUGGAACUGAGACACGGUCCAGACUCCUACGGGAGGCAGCAGUGGGGAAUCUUGGGCAGUGGGCGCAAGCCUGAUCCAGCCAUACCGCGUGGGUGAAGCAGGCCUUCGGGUUGUAAAGCCCUUUUGUUGGGAAAGAAAAGCAGCAGGUUAAUACCCCGCUGUUCUGACGGUACCCAAAGAAUAAGCACCGGCUAACUUCGUG
RNAcentral lists this ribosomal RNA (492 nucleotides) under uncultured bacterium. RNAcentral describes it as "partial 16S ribosomal RNA". It matches the Rfam family "Bacterial small subunit ribosomal RNA", at positions 29 to 507 of the family's 1533-position model. The record is from RNAcentral.